AAGUCGUAACAAGGUUUCCGUAGGUGAACCUGCGGAAGGAUCAUUAUUGAAUGAACUUGACUUUGGUUGCAUGCUGGGUCUUUUCGAAGGCAUGUGCACACCUUGUCAUCUUUAUAUCUCCACCCGUGCACCUUUUGUAGACCUGUAUUCCAACUUUCCGAGGCAACUCGGUCGGAGGAAUUGCUUUAAUAAGCUUUCCUUGUAAGUUUCCGAGGCCUAUGUUUUCAUACUACAACCCAUACGAAUUGUAACCGAAUGUCAUUAUUAGGCUUAUUGUCUUAUAAACUAUAUACAA
This 295-nucleotide unclassified non-coding RNA is filed under the name plant metagenome. RNAcentral's name for it is "partial contains small subunit ribosomal RNA and internal transcribed spacer 1". The stretch from base 1 to 46 matches the Rfam family "Eukaryotic small subunit ribosomal RNA", at positions 1786 to 1831 of the family's 1831-position model. The record is from RNAcentral.